This 408-nucleotide ribosomal RNA is filed under the name uncultured bacterium. RNAcentral's name for it is "bacterial SSU rRNA". It matches the Rfam family "Bacterial small subunit ribosomal RNA", at positions 28 to 429 of the family's 1533-position model. The record is from RNAcentral.
GACGAACGCUGGCGGCGUGCCUAACACAUGCAAGUUGAGCGACGAACCAGGGCUUGCCCUGGGGCAAAGCAGCGAACGGGUGAGUAACACGUGGGUAACCUGCCCCGAUGACCGGGACAACUCGAGGAAACUCGAGCUAAUACCGGAUGUGGCUACUGGACUCAAGUCCGGUCGUCAAAGGAAGCUUCGGCCUCCGCAUUGGGAGGGGCCCGCGGCCCAUUAGCUAGUUGGUGAGGUAAGAGCUCACCAAGGCAACGAUGGGUAGCUGGUUUGAGAGGACGAUCAGCCACACUGGGACUGAGACACGGCCCAGACUCCUACGGGAGGCAGCAGUGGGGAAUCUUGCGCAAUGCGCGAAAGCGUGACGCAGCAACGCCGCGUGGGGGAAGAAGGCCUUCGGGUUGUAAA